RNAcentral lists this RNase P RNA (351 nucleotides) under uncultured Acinetobacter sp. RNAcentral's name for it is "Bacterial RNase P class A". It matches the Rfam family "Bacterial RNase P class A". From Rfam's summary of the family: Ribonuclease P (RNase P) is a ubiquitous endoribonuclease, found in archaea, bacteria and eukarya as well as chloroplasts and mitochondria. Lineage: Bacteria; Pseudomonadati; Pseudomonadota; Gammaproteobacteria; Moraxellales; Moraxellaceae. The record is from RNAcentral.
GUGAGCCAGACGAUCGCUGCUGUGGAGAUCUUCGUGAUUGAAACAGGGGAGGAAAGUCCGGGCUUCGCAGGGCAAGGUGCCAGGUAACGCCUGGGCGGUGUGAGCCGACGGAAAGUGCAGCAGAGAGUAGACCGCCUCAUUUUUUGAGGUAAGGGUGAAAGGGUGUGGUAAGAGCACACCGCAUGACUGGUAACAGUUCAUGGCAUGGUAAACCCCACCAGAAGCAAGACCAAAUAGGAAUCCGUUAGGCAUGGCCCAUGUUGGAUUCGGGUAGGUCGCUUGAGCGUAUAAGUGAUUAUGCGCCUAGAGGAAUGAUCGUUCUAGACAGAACCCGGCUUAUCGGCUCACUUU